GACGAACGCUGGCGGCGUGCUUAACACAUGCAAGUCGAACGGAAAGGCCCCAGCUUGCUGGGGUACUCGAGUGGCGAACGGGUGAGUAACACGUGGGUGAUCUGCCCUGCACUCUGGGAUAAGCCUGGGAAACUGGGUCUAAUACCGGAUAGGACCGUGCUUUAGUGUGUGCGGUGGAAAGUUUUUCGGUGCAGGAUGAGCCCGCGGCCUAUCAGCUUGUUGGUGGGGUAGUGGCCUACCAAGGCGGCGACGGGUAGCCGGCCUGAGAGGGUGUACGGCCACAUUGGGACUGAGACACGGCCCAGACUCCUACGGGAGGCAGCAGUGGGGAAUAUUGCACAAUGGGCGCAAGCCUGAUGCAGCGACGCCGCGUGGGGGAUGACGGCCUUCGGGUUGUAAACCCCUUUCGGCAGGGACGAAGCUUUUGUGACGGUACCUGCAUAAGAAGCACCGGCUAACUACGUG
Molecule: ribosomal RNA, 465 nt
Filed under: uncultured bacterium
Lineage: Bacteria
Description: partial 16S ribosomal RNA
Rfam family: Bacterial small subunit ribosomal RNA
Source: RNAcentral